Molecule: long non-coding RNA, 1453 nt
Filed under: Helianthus annuus (common sunflower)
Lineage: Eukaryota; Viridiplantae; Streptophyta; Magnoliopsida; Asterales; Asteraceae
Description: hypothetical non coding rna
Source: RNAcentral
CUUUCUUUCUCUCGAUCUCUUCUGUCGCUCCUUUCCUCUAAAUUCUAUAAAUUCUAAAUUUUUACUUUUCACCCUACAAUAAUAAUAAUAAAGUUCUGCCCUGUUUUAAGUAUUGUAACUCCUGAUCACCGCUACCCUUUUCGAUUGAUCUGAGCCUCAUAACUUAUGUCAGGGCUCUGCCCGACUAAGUUGUUGGGAUUCGGUCUCGGGAUUUCGGGACAAGGUUGAAUUAGGGGUACUAUACUUACCACGAGUGCAAUAUAUUUUUUAUAGCCCAAAAGUUAUACCCAAAAUUUAUACCAGGAGAUUUUCUAGUUGAACCCUAAAGUUACAAACUGGGUCCAUUUUCUUUUCUCACCAUUUUAUUUCCUUUUUGUGAUUUACCCAAAACUAUUAUUUAUUAUAUAUUACUCUAUUUUGUAAAACAACUCUCAAUCAAAAUUCAUAUCUGUUAUUUUAUUUACUCAAUAAGGAACCCUAGUUGAGACACCCAAGUAAUUCUACACAAACCCUAAAAUUUUCAUAACAAUCAGAAUCAGGAUCAGGGCCCCUAAAACUCAGAGGGGGCAAUUCCCAUUCGAUAUUAUCUUCAAAACUCAUUGUCAAAAUUUAAAUUUUCGAAUUCAUCAACUCAGCAGGCCUAGUCCCACACGUGGCAACCCUAUGACCAUUAGGUGUCCCUUACGGACCGUAAGGGAAUAGUCUUACGGUCCGUAAGCAUGUCAAUUUUCGUGUAUAAAUAACAGACAUUGGGACUGGAAUUUGGGCGAUUGAACGACGUAAAAACUCGUAAUACACACUGAGUUACGUUCUGUUUACUAUCAAAAUCACUAAUUAGUAUAGCGGGGUGCUGCUGCGAUACCGGGUAUUAACUCGAUCGCUAUUACGAUUCAACGUCCGAUCGAUUAUAACUAUCCAACGAUUGUUUGAGUGCUGCUCAAAUUGAUUUUAUACUUUGUUAUUCAUCGUGAUUUCGACUUGAAUGUUUGAGUGUUGUCCGAACUCGGACUAUACUCUGUCAUUCGUUGUGAAUCCGCUGAAUUGUUAAGUAUUGCACUCUAUUAAUCGUUGUGAGGGUUUAAUCUCGUGAAUUGUCGUAAAUACUGUAUUAGUUAUUUACCUAGUUUCGUGUGCAUCAUUUCUUAAAUUAGGUUAUUAGUCUUACCAGUAGACUAAACUUUACCCCCAUACACUUACAAUCAAAGUAGAUGCUAAUUCUCAGAAGAAUCUGAAUCAUCAAGCUUGUUAAUUCAAUACUGCAUGCUUAUAAUGUAAUUACAGUAGAUUGGAGUAAAGAUUGGAUCCGGCACUAAAAGACUUCAAGAAGUGGCUUAUUUUAUUAAUUAAAAAUCAAAUUAAGAAAUAAUGCUUUAUGUAAAUAAAAUUUAUCUUUAAAGCUACCUUUGUAAAACAUGGAUUUAUUCCAUCUAUUUAAUAAAUAAAAUCCGGUGUU